AUGAUGCUCUCUUCACCCAUCACCUCGUUUUGUCAAGAUCAUGUUAUUUUCUUGCUUAUCCAUUUAACCGGAGUGUUGUGUAUUCAUUCGAGUUCUCUCAUCUUAUCAAGUUUUGCCUCCUUCCUCAACCAGAGAGCUGUCUUAAAUCUUUCUUACCCCUUGUGCCAUUCUUAUAAUAGUUUCGAAGGUAGUGUGUUGUUGAUCUCAUCAAGUAUCCUCUCAUCUUGUCAAGUUCAUGUUCAAUUUCUUCCAUUUACAGUCAAAAUUAUAUCAUUCUUAUUCAUUCUUAUCUUGUUUCAACCAGAAUGGUUUCAAUUCCUUCUUGUCCAUUGUGCUCGUCAUUCAUGUCUUUGCAACCUUCAAGUUCCCGUAAUGUUCCUUGUUCGUCUUUUCUAA
Molecule: ribosomal RNA, 396 nt
Filed under: Triticum aestivum (bread wheat)
Lineage: Eukaryota; Viridiplantae; Streptophyta; Magnoliopsida; Poales; Poaceae
Description: partial small subunit ribosomal RNA
Source: RNAcentral